CCGAGUUGCUGUAGACCGUGGGCCGGGAGCAGUGGCAGCACUGGCAGGUGAUUGGGGCCCUUGGGAGCCAGCUCCACUCCCACCAUGCAGCACUGGAGCCCUGCCUGCCACCCAAGGCCAAGGAUUCCUGGCCAGCUGCAAGGCGACCAGAUGCCCCCUGGGGGACCUGUGACCUCUGCUGUGCCUGGUGGUUACCGUCCUGGGUCUAAGAGGUUUCUCCUGCCUUGGGAUAUCACCAUCACCCCAGAGUCAGCAGAAGGGAAGGGAAGAGAAGGGAAGGAAGAGGAAAGGUGGAGGAGGCAUCCCUUCUUACGUGUAUAUAUUUAUCCAAUAUUUAUCUGCUUAAGCCCUGGCAUUCUGGGGAGGAAACAAAGGCAGUGGUACCCAGACUUUGUCUUCAAAGUUCCCAUCAUGCUGGCCAUAGCGGCUCAUGCCUGCAAUCCCAACACUCGGGAGACUGAGACAGGAGGAUUGAUGUAAAAGUGAGUUCAAGCAGCCUGAACUGCAUAGUGAGACACUGUCUUAAUAAGAAAAAAAAAAGCCUGUGCACAUCCCUUGGCACCGCAUAUCUGCCCUUCCGCCCAGGAACUCACUUCCCGGAGGGAACCUGGGGUCAACCCAGGUUUCUGAGGAAAAGUGUUAUAGCUUUCAGGGUUCAGACCCCAGAAAGGGCUGAGAGAAGCUCUGCCUAUCUUUACUUAUUUUUUAAUUUAUUAAUUAUUUAUUACUUUUAUUUUUGUUUGUCUUUUUGAGACCGGGUCUCACUAUGGGAUUCAGGCUGGUUUUGGGCUCACUUUGUAGCCCAGACUGGUCUCGAACUUGCAGCAGUCUGUCUACCUCAGCCUCCCAAGUGCUGGGAUUAUAGGAGUGAGCCACCAGGCCCAGCUGCUCUGCCUGUCUUUAUGUGUGUCCCUGGCACCAAGUGUCUGACAGCACACUCACUAGCGGGUUAUCUGUGACUGUCUCUCCCAGUGGGAUUUAAUAUGUUUUUUCAUUCUUCUUUUUAUUUUUUGAUACUUUUAAAUCAUACAGUAGCUUUUGAAAAAUAGCAGAUUUACUAAUUCACGCACCAUAAAAUUCAUCCUCCCCUUUAUCUGGUACUCAAGAUAAAUGCAGGUCCUCACACAUGCUAGGCAAGCGCUGCACCACAGAGCUAUACUCCUGGCCCCAAAUUCAUCCCUUUAAAUUGUACAAGCCAGGUGUGGUGGCACACAUCUGUGAUGCCAGGGCUUGAGAGACUGAAGCAGAUCACGAGAAAUUUAAGGCCAAUGUGUGCUACAUAGUGAGACUGUCUCAACCCCACCCCCAAAUUUACAAGAACCUGGUAGGCUUUGAGUUUGGUGUAGAGGCAGGAAAAUUCCCCAUAUGAAUGAAUAAAGAAAUUGUGGUAUUUAUAUAAAAUGCAGUAUUACUGUCAUAAAAAUGAUAAUUUUAGUCAUUUGUAGGAAAAUGGAUGCAAUUUGAGGCCAUGAUAUUAAGUAAAAUAAAAAGAGUUAAGAGUUAAGAGUGUAAAAAGAGUUAAGA
Molecule: long non-coding RNA, 1524 nt
Filed under: Cavia porcellus (domestic guinea pig)
Lineage: Eukaryota; Metazoa; Chordata; Mammalia; Rodentia; Caviidae
Description: lncRNA (ENSCPOG00000037383.1)
Source: RNAcentral